UACGUAGGGUGCGAGCGUUAAUCGGAAUUACUGGGCGUAAAGCGUGCGCAGGCGGUUCUGUAAGCCAGAUGUGAAAUCCCCGGGCUUAACCUGGGAAUGGCAUUUGGGACUGCAAGGCUGGAGUGUGGCAGAGGGAGGUGGAAUUCCACGUGUAGCAGUGAAAUGCGUAGAGAUGUGGAGGAACACCGAUGGCGAAGGCAGCCUCCUGGGCCAGCACUGACGCUCAUGCACGAAAGCGUGGGGAGCAAACAGG
RNAcentral lists this ribosomal RNA (253 nucleotides) under uncultured bacterium. RNAcentral describes it as "partial 16S ribosomal RNA". It matches the Rfam family "Bacterial small subunit ribosomal RNA", at positions 524 to 776 of the family's 1533-position model. The record is from RNAcentral.